UAAGGAAUAUUGGUCAAUGGACGCAAGUCUGAACCAGCCAUGCCGCGUGGUGGAUUAAGGCCCUCUGGGUUGUAAACUCCUUUUAUCUGGGAAGAAAUGUACUUUUUCUUGAGUACUUGACGGUACCAGAGGAAUAAGCACCGGCUAACUCCGUGCCAGCAGCCGCGGUAGUACGGAGGGUGCAAGCGUUAUCCGGAUUCACUGGGUUUAAAGGGUGCGUAGGUGGGCAGGUAAGUCAGUGGUGAAAUCUCCGGGCUUAACCCGGAAACUGCCGUUGAUACUAUUUGUCUUGAAUAUUGUGGAGGUAAGCGGAAUAUGUCAUGUAGCGGUGAAAUGCCUAGAUAUGACAUAGAACGCCAAUUGCGAAGGCAGCUUACUACACAAUCAUUGACGCUGAGGCACGAAAGCGUGGGGAUCAAACA
Molecule: ribosomal RNA, 422 nt
Filed under: uncultured bacterium
Lineage: Bacteria
Description: bacterial SSU rRNA
Rfam family: Bacterial small subunit ribosomal RNA
Source: RNAcentral